RNAcentral lists this transfer RNA (73 nucleotides) under Zea mays. It matches the Rfam family "tRNA". Rfam says of the family: Transfer RNA (tRNA) molecules are approximately 80 nucleotides in length. Their secondary structure includes four short double-helical elements and three loops (D, anti-codon, and T loops). Further hydrogen bonds mediate the characteristic L-shaped molecular structure. tRNAs have two regions of fundamental functional importance: the anti-codon, which is responsible for specific mRNA codon recognition, and the 3' end, to which the tRNAs corresponding amino acid is attached (by aminoacyl-tRNA synthetases). tRNAs cope with the degeneracy of the genetic code in two manners: having more than one tRNA (with a specific anti-codon) for a particular amino acid; and 'wobble' base-pairing, i.e. permitting non-standard base-pairing at the 3rd anti-codon position. Lineage: Eukaryota; Viridiplantae; Streptophyta; Magnoliopsida; Poales; Poaceae. The record is from Rfam by way of RNAcentral.
ACUUGUCUAGCUCAGUUGGUAAAAUACAAGGCUCUUAACCUUGUGGUUGUGGGUUCGAGCCUCAUGGUGUGCG